This 497-nucleotide ribosomal RNA is filed under the name uncultured bacterium. RNAcentral describes it as "partial 16S ribosomal RNA". It matches the Rfam family "Bacterial small subunit ribosomal RNA", at positions 28 to 507 of the family's 1533-position model. The record is from RNAcentral.
GAUGAACGCUGGCGGCGUGCCUAAUACAUGCAAGUCGAGCGAACGGACGAGAAGCUUGCUUCUCUGAUGUUAGCGGCGGACGGGUGAGUAACACGUGGAUAACCUACCUAUAAGACUGGGAUAACUUCGGGAAACCGGAGCUAAUACCGGAUAAUAUUUUGAACCGCAUGGUUCAAAAGUGAAAGACGGUCUUGCUGUCACUUAUAGAUGGAUCCGCGCUGCAUUAGCUAGUUGGUACGGUAACGGCUUACCAAGGCAACGAGGCAUAGCCGAACUGAGGGGGUGGUCGGCCACACUGGAACUGAGACACGGUCCAUGCUCCUACGGUAGGCAGCAGUAGGCAAUCUUACGCAAUGGGCGAAAGCCUGACGGAGCAACGCCGCGUGAGUUAUGAAGAUCUUCGGAGCGGAAAACUCUGUUAUGAGGGAAGAACAUAUGUGUAAGUAACUGUGCACAUCGUGACGGUACCUAAUCAGAAAGCCACGGCUAACUACGUG